UCGAGGGGCAGCAUGAACUUAGCUUGCUGAGUUUGAUGGCGACCGGCGCACGGGUGAGUAACACGUAUCCAACCUGCCGACAACACUGGGAUAGCCUUUCGAAAGAAAGAUUAAUACCGGAUGGCAUAGUUUUCCCGCAUGGGAUGAUUAUUAAAGAAUUUCGGUCAUCGAUGGGGAUGCGUUCCAUUAGGUUGUUGGCGGGGUAACGGCCCACCAAGCCUUCGAUGGAUAGGGGUUCUGAGAGGAAGGUCCCCACAUUGGAACUGAGACACGGCCCAAACUCC
This 284-nucleotide ribosomal RNA is filed under the name uncultured Bacteroides sp. RNAcentral describes it as "partial 16S ribosomal RNA". It matches the Rfam family "Bacterial small subunit ribosomal RNA", at positions 62 to 339 of the family's 1533-position model. The record is from RNAcentral. Lineage: Bacteria; Pseudomonadati; Bacteroidota; Bacteroidia; Bacteroidales; Bacteroidaceae.